This 414-nucleotide ribosomal RNA is filed under the name Tethya sp. 6 JV-2020. RNAcentral's name for it is "partial large subunit ribosomal RNA". It matches the Rfam family "Eukaryotic large subunit ribosomal RNA", at positions 163 to 521 of the family's 3401-position model. The record is from RNAcentral. Lineage: Eukaryota; Metazoa; Porifera; Demospongiae; Tethyida; Tethyidae.
GUGCCCGGACUGACGCUGUCGAAGUUGACCUGGAAAGGCACGUCAGAGAGGGUGAGAGCCCCGUGUGCGACACUGUCGGGAUGGGCCGCUACUGUCUUCGGAGAGUCGGGUUGUUUGGGAAUGCAGCCCAAAGUGGGUGGUAAACUCCAUCUAAAGCUAAAUACUGGCACGAGACCGAUAGCGAACAAGUACCAUGAGGGAAAGGUGAAAAGUACUUUGAAAAGAGAGUCAAAAAGACCGCAAAACCGUUAGGAGGGAAACGAAUGCAGCUGAAGUAGCUCCCCUUCAGGCUCAGGAAGUGUCGAAUCUGCUUGCUGGCCGCUGGAAGCCGAUAGGCGCCAGCGGUUGGACGGCUAGUCGACUGCUCUGCACUCCUGGGGGGAGCUGGCCAACAACAGUUGCCUCUGGCUCACG